This 583-nucleotide ribosomal RNA is filed under the name Bacillus sp. ODB71. RNAcentral describes it as "bacterial SSU rRNA". It matches the Rfam family "Bacterial small subunit ribosomal RNA", at positions 376 to 949 of the family's 1533-position model. The record is from RNAcentral. Lineage: Bacteria; Bacillati; Bacillota; Bacilli; Caryophanales; Bacillaceae.
CGAAAUUCUGACGGAGCAACGCCGCGUGAGUGAUGAAGGUUUUCGGAUCGUANAACUCUGUUGUUAGGGAAGAACAAGUACCGUUCGAAUAGGGCGGCACCUUGACGGUACCUAACCAGAAAGCCACGGCUAACUACGUGCCAGCAGCCGCGGUAAUACGUAGGUGGCAAGCGUUGUCCGGAAUUAUUGGGCGUAAAGCGCGCGCAGGCGGUUUCUUAAGUCUGAUGUGAAAGCCCCCGGCUCAACCGGGGAGGGUCAUUGGAAACUGGGGAACUUGAGUGCAGAAGAGGAGAGUGGAAUUCCACGUGUAGCGGUGAAAUGCGUAGAGAUGUGGAGGAACACCAGUGGCGAAGGCGACUCUCUGGUCUGUAACUGACGCUGAGGCGCGAAAGCGUGGGGAGCGAACAGGAUUANAUACCCUGGUAGUCCACGCCGUAAACGAUGAGUGCUAAGUGUUAGAGGGUUUCCGCCCUUUAGUGCUGCAGCAAACGCAUUAAGCACUCCGCCUGGGGAGUACGGUCGCAAGACUGAAACUCAAAGGAAUUGACGGGGGCCCGCACAAGCGGUGGAGCAUGUGGUUUUA